GUGAAACCCUAGCGACUCUUGCCCCGGCGGCGGCGGCGGCGGCAGCAAAGGCGAAGAUGAUCUACGACGUGAACUCCCCUCUCUUCCGCUCCUUCCUCAGCCAGAAGGGCGGCGCCUCCUCCGACAAGAGGAAAAUGGAAGAGCAAAAGCCAAAGGAGCAGAGGCCCAAGGCCAGUGAGAACAAGCCUGUGAUGAAUGAAUGAAGGCUUUCUGAUGUGUUUGGUCCUUACAAGGAAUAGGCUUCAAUCAUGUGAUUCCUAG
Molecule: unclassified non-coding RNA, 261 nt
Filed under: Hevea brasiliensis (rubber tree)
Lineage: Eukaryota; Viridiplantae; Streptophyta; Magnoliopsida; Malpighiales; Euphorbiaceae
Source: RNAcentral